Molecule: transfer RNA, 73 nt
Filed under: Pseudomonas aeruginosa
Lineage: Bacteria; Pseudomonadati; Pseudomonadota; Gammaproteobacteria; Pseudomonadales; Pseudomonadaceae
Description: tRNA-His
Rfam family: tRNA (bases 4-65)
About the family: Transfer RNA (tRNA) molecules are approximately 80 nucleotides in length.
Source: RNAcentral
GGGCGUAGCUCAGUUGGUAGAGCACAGGAUUGUGGCUCCUGGUGUCGUGGGUUCGAUUCCCGGUGGUGUUUCA